This 72-nucleotide microRNA precursor is filed under the name Drosophila guanche. Lineage: Eukaryota; Metazoa; Arthropoda; Insecta; Diptera; Drosophilidae. The record is from RNAcentral.
UGGGUGUGUGUCUGUGUGUGUGUGUGUGUGACCAUUUUUUGCACACACACACACACAGAACACACUCCCUGU